This 231-nucleotide ribosomal RNA is filed under the name uncultured Actinomycetales bacterium. RNAcentral's name for it is "partial 16S ribosomal RNA". It matches the Rfam family "Bacterial small subunit ribosomal RNA", at positions 99 to 334 of the family's 1533-position model. The record is from RNAcentral. Lineage: Bacteria; Bacillati; Actinomycetota; Actinomycetes; Actinomycetales.
CGAACGGGUGAGUAACACGUGGGUGAUCUGCCUUGCACUCUGGGAUAAGCUUGGGAAACUGGGUCUAAUACCGGAUAGGAACCGUCUUUAGUGUGGUGGUUGGAAAGUUUUUCGGUGCAAGAUGAGCUCGCGGCCUAUCAGCUUGUUUGUGGGGUAAUGGCCUACCAAGGCGUCGACGGGUAGCCGGCCUGAGAGGGUGUACGGCCACAUUGGGACUGAGAUACGGCCCAG